GGGGGUGUAGCUCAGUGGUAGAGCGUUCGCUUUGCAUACUCCUUUGUAUGCGAAAGGCCCAGGGUUCGAUCCCCUGCUCCUCCA
RNAcentral lists this transfer RNA (84 nucleotides) under Cercophora newfieldiana. It matches the Rfam family "tRNA". From Rfam's summary of the family: Transfer RNA (tRNA) molecules are approximately 80 nucleotides in length. The record is from Rfam by way of RNAcentral. Lineage: Eukaryota; Fungi; Ascomycota; Sordariomycetes; Sordariales; Lasiosphaeriaceae.